GGUGCUUGCACCAAAUGAAACUAGAUACAAGCGAGCGGCGGACGGGUGAGUAACACGUGGGUAACCUGCCCAAGAGACUGGGAUAACACCUGGAAACAGAUGCUAAUACCGGAUAACAACACUAGACGCAUGUCUAGAGUUUAAAAGAUGGUUCUGCUAUCACUCUUGGAUGGACCUGCGGUGCAUUAGCUAGUUGGUAAGGUAACGGCUUACCAAGGCAAUGAUGCAUAGCCGAGUUGAGAGACUGAUCGGCCACAUUGGGACUGAGACACGGCCCAAACUCCUACGGGAGGCAGCAGUAGGGAAUCUUCCACAAUGGACGCAAGUCUGAUGGAGCAACGCCGCGUGAGUGAAGAAGGGUUUCGGCUCGUAAAGCUCUGUUGGUAGUGAAGAAAGAUAGAGGUAGUAACUGGCCUUUAUUUGACGGUAAUUACUUAGAAAGUCACGGCUAACUACGUGCCAGCAGCCGCGGUAAUACGUAGGUGGCAAGCGUUGUCCGGAUUUAUUGGGCGUAAAGCGAGUGCAGGCGGUUCAAUAAGUCUGAUGUGAAAGCCUUCGGCUCAACCGGAGAAUUGCAUCAGAAACUGUUGAACUUGAGUGCAGAAGAGGAGAGUGGAACUCCAUGUGUAGCGGUGGAAUGCGUAGAUAUAUGGAAGAACACCAGUGGCGAAGGCGGCUCUCUGGUCUGCAACUGACGCUGAGGCUCGAAAGCAUGGGUAGCGAACAGGAUUAGAUACCCUGGUAGUCCAUGCCGUAAACGAUGAGUGCUAAGUGUUGGGAGGUUUCCGCCUCUCAGUGCUGCAGCUAACGCA
Molecule: ribosomal RNA, 812 nt
Filed under: Lactobacillus gasseri
Lineage: Bacteria; Bacillati; Bacillota; Bacilli; Lactobacillales; Lactobacillaceae
Description: bacterial SSU rRNA
Rfam family: Bacterial small subunit ribosomal RNA
Source: RNAcentral